ACUGCAAGGCCAACCCCACAGUUCUCAUUUUCUGUUUCCCUGCUUUUAUUGGCAUCUCUCUGAGUCCAAAGGUUUCACAGCCCCACCAGCACGGUGGUGAACAACUCAAGAGUUUUCUAAGACAAAAUACCUCGACUAGUGGUGCAGCAUUAACUCGAUCCCAUCAAAAAAAGCCACAGAACAGAUCCUUCUGGGUGACAGACAUCAGCAUUACAGGAUGGUAAUGCCUAAGGAGGAAUAAUUACGCCAACGUGAGAACUUUCAGAGGAGCAGCUGCAUUCAGAAGAAUCAAAGAAAGCAUUUUCCUAAUAUAAAUAUGCUGCCACAAGAAAAGCAGAAGUAGUAAAAAUGUGCAUUUCAAUACAGCGGAAGUAAUGGCUCCUUUUAACAACAUGCUUCAAGUUUCUCAAGGGACUUGUUUAUUUGUAACACAAAGCACUCCACUUCGUGUUUCCAUUAUGUCAUGUGUCAUUUGUCUUUCUCAGAGAAAUCUGUGUUGUCAAUAUCUAUUUUAUUGUUCAGUAAAUUUUCAUUACACAUGC
Molecule: long non-coding RNA, 542 nt
Organism: Chiroxiphia lanceolata (lance-tailed manakin)
Lineage: Eukaryota; Metazoa; Chordata; Aves; Passeriformes; Pipridae
Exons: 2
Source: RefSeq, a predicted model, not a curated record